GGAAUCGCUAGUAAUCGUGGAUCAGAAUGCCACGGUGAAUACGUUCCCGGGCCUUGUACACACCGCCCGUCACACCAUGGGAGUGGGCUGCACCAGAAGUAGAUAGCUUAACCUUCGGGAGGGCGUUUACCACGGUGUGGUUCAUGACUGGGGUGAAGUCGUAACAAGGUAGCCCUAGGGGAACCUGGGGCUGGAUCACCUCCUUA
This 206-nucleotide ribosomal RNA is filed under the name Photobacterium rosenbergii. RNAcentral's name for it is "partial 16S ribosomal RNA". It matches the Rfam family "Bacterial small subunit ribosomal RNA", at positions 1328 to 1533 of the family's 1533-position model. The record is from RNAcentral. Lineage: Bacteria; Pseudomonadati; Pseudomonadota; Gammaproteobacteria; Vibrionales; Vibrionaceae.